Molecule: transfer RNA, 74 nt
Filed under: Roseburia intestinalis
Lineage: Bacteria; Bacillati; Bacillota; Clostridia; Lachnospirales; Lachnospiraceae
Also listed under: 1 other name
Description: tRNA-Lys(ttt)
Rfam family: tRNA
About the family: Transfer RNA (tRNA) molecules are approximately 80 nucleotides in length. Their secondary structure includes four short double-helical elements and three loops (D, anti-codon, and T loops). Further hydrogen bonds mediate the characteristic L-shaped molecular structure. tRNAs have two regions of fundamental functional importance: the anti-codon, which is responsible for specific mRNA codon recognition, and the 3' end, to which the tRNAs corresponding amino acid is attached (by aminoacyl-tRNA synthetases). tRNAs cope with the degeneracy of the genetic code in two manners: having more than one tRNA (with a specific anti-codon) for a particular amino acid; and 'wobble' base-pairing, i.e. permitting non-standard base-pairing at the 3rd anti-codon position.
Source: RNAcentral
GGGAUAUUAGCUCAGUUGGUAGAGCACUUGACUUUUAAUCAAGUUGUCCGGGGUUCGAAUCCCCGAUGUCUCAC